Molecule: ribosomal RNA, 253 nt
Filed under: uncultured bacterium
Lineage: Bacteria
Description: partial 16S ribosomal RNA
Rfam family: Bacterial small subunit ribosomal RNA
Source: RNAcentral
GACAGAGGAUGCAAGCGUUAUCCGGAAUGAUUGGGCGUAAAGCGUCUGUAGGUGGCUUUUCAAGUCCGCCGUCAAAUCCCAGGGCUCAACCCUGGACAGGCGGUGGAAACUACCAAGCUGGAGUACGGUAGGGGCAGAGGGAAUUCCCGGUGUAGCGGUGAAAUGCGUAGAGAUCGGGAAGAACAUCGGUGGCGAAAGCGCUCUACUGGACCGCAACUGACACUCAGGGACGAAAGCUAGGGGAGCGAAUGGG